UACGUAGGGUGCAAGCGUUGCCCGGAUUUAUUGGGCGUAAAGAGCGUGUAGGCGGCCAGGUAGGUCUGCUGUGAAAACUCGAGGCUCAACCUCGAGACGCCGAUGGAAACCAUCUGACUAGAGUCCGGAAGAGGAGAGUGGAAUUCCUGGUGUAGCGGUGAAAUGCGCAGAUAUCAGGAAGAACACCCGUGGCUAAGGCGGCUCUCUAGUACGGUACUGACGCUGAGACGCGAAAGCGUGGGGAGCGAACAGG
Molecule: ribosomal RNA, 253 nt
Filed under: uncultured bacterium
Lineage: Bacteria
Description: partial 16S ribosomal RNA
Rfam family: Bacterial small subunit ribosomal RNA
Source: RNAcentral